This 506-nucleotide ribosomal RNA is filed under the name uncultured bacterium. Its description in RNAcentral is "partial 16S ribosomal RNA". It matches the Rfam family "Bacterial small subunit ribosomal RNA", at positions 29 to 523 of the family's 1533-position model. The record is from RNAcentral.
AGUGAACGCUGGCGGUAGGCCUAACACAUGCAAGUCGAACGGCAGCACAGGAGAGCUUGCUCUCUGGGUGGCGAGUGGCGGACGGGUGAGGAAUACAUCGGAAUCUACUUUUUCGUGGGGGAUAACGUAGGGAAACUUACGCUAAUACCGCAUACGACCUACGGGUGAAAGCAGGGGAUCUUCGGACCUUGCGCGAUUGAAUGAGCCGAUGUCGGAUUAGCUAGUUGGCGGGGUAAAGGCCAACCAAGGCGACGAUCCGUAGCUGGUCUGAGAGGAUGAUCAGCCACACUGGGACUGAGACACGGUCCAGACUCCUACGGGAGGCAGCAGUGGGGAAUAUUGGACAAUGGGCGCAAGCCUGAUCCAGCUAUACCGCGUGGGUGAAGAAGGCCUUCGGGUUGUAAAGCCCUUUUGUUGGGAAAGAAAUCCAGCUGGUUAAUACCCGGUUGGGAUGACGGUACCCAAAGAAUAAGCACCGGCUAACUUCGUGCCAGCCGCCGCGGUAA